This 602-nucleotide ribosomal RNA is filed under the name Burkholderia sp. N2b25_5. RNAcentral describes it as "bacterial SSU rRNA". It matches the Rfam family "Bacterial small subunit ribosomal RNA", at positions 404 to 998 of the family's 1533-position model. The record is from RNAcentral. Lineage: Bacteria; Pseudomonadati; Pseudomonadota; Betaproteobacteria; Burkholderiales; Burkholderiaceae.
UGUGAAGAAGGCCUUCGGGUUGUAAAGCACUUUUGUCCGGAAAGAAAACUUCGCCCUUAAUAUCCUUGGAGGAUGACGGUACCGGAAGAAUAAGCACCGGCUAACUACGUGCCAGCAGCCGCGGUAAUACGUAGGGUGCGAGCGUUAAUCGGAAUUACUGGGCGUAAAGCGUGCGCAGGCGGUCUGUUAAGACCGAUGUGAAAUCCCCGGGCUUAACCUGGGAACUGCAUUGGUGACUGGCAGGCUUUGAGUGUGGCAGAGGGAGGUAGAAUUCCACGUGUAGCAGUGAAAUGCGUAGAGAUGUGGAGGAAUACCGAUGGCGAAGGCAGCCUCCUGGGCCAACACUGACGCUCAUGCACGAAAGCGUGGGGAGCAAACAGGAUUAGAUACCCUGGUAGUCCACGCCCUAAACGAUGUCAACUAGUUGUUGGGGAUUCAUUUCCUUAGUAACGUAGCUAACGCGUGAAGUUGACCGCCUGGGGAGUACGGUCGCAAGAUUAAAACUCAAAGGAAUUGACGGGGACCCGCACAAGCGGUGGAUGAUGUGGAUUAAUUCGAUGCAACGCGAAAAACCUUACCUACCCUUGACAUGGUCGGAAUCC